AUGAAAUGGAGGGAGGACAGUAUAAAGCGGUACCCUCGCCAAAAAAACAUAACGUGGUACGGGAGGGCAACUCAGCUUUUGCGGCAGUUCUUCCCGCGGAGAAAGCCAAUAAACAAGGGAGGCGCCGGGUCUGGUCAGCUCAUGUCGGGCAAUGGUGUUGAUUCUAUGCGUCCAUGGUGGGCCGCCACUGAGUACGGAUGCGCCUCUCACUGCCGGCAGCGCGUGCGCCGUUGUCUCGCCCCGUGGAGUAGCCGCCCAUGCAUACGGACAAGACGAGGAGACCAAGAAGAGAAGCAUAUGACGCAGAUGGAGGAGCUCGUGCGGCAGUGCGACAUGGAGGUCAUGAAGAUGGCCAUGCUCAAGCACGAGCAGACCUUCAGGCAGCAGGUGCAUGAUCUGCACCGGCUGUACCGAGUCCAGAAGCAGCUCAUGGGCGACCAGAGCGGGCGCCCGUCGUCAGUGCUACCCUGCCGUCAGGUGCAGAGGCGCAGGCAGCACCCCCGCCGGCCGGAGCUGAGCCUGCAGCUCCCUGUCGACGACAACGAGGACGAGCACACCGUCGUCAGCGCCGGCACAGGCCGCCUAGCGACGCCGCCGUCCACGGAAAGCGAGGACGAGCUGGAGCUGACGCUGGCCGUCGGCGGCGGCGGCGUCCACGGCGGGAGCAGAAGGAGCCAGAGGAGGAGGCGGGAGAGCGCGACGGACUGCUCCGGCAGAAGAAGCCCACAGACGCCGUCUUCGUCGACCGACUCCGACGAGGCGCUCCGCCCGGUGCAGCACCGCCACCAGAGGGCGACGCCGUGUGAUCUCCGGGGAGGGGUGACGGUGUCGAAGCAGCCGCAAUGGCUGGUGCGCUGUCUCAGCCUUAGGAUGGCUUGA
RNAcentral lists this ribosomal RNA (879 nucleotides) under Triticum aestivum (bread wheat). RNAcentral's name for it is "partial small subunit ribosomal RNA". Lineage: Eukaryota; Viridiplantae; Streptophyta; Magnoliopsida; Poales; Poaceae. The record is from RNAcentral.